GCUGGCGGCGUCUUAACACAUGCAAGUCNAACGAGGAUCUUCAGUGUAGCAAUACAUANGCGGUCCUAGUGGCGCACGGGUGAGUAACACGUGGGUGACCUGCCCUGGAGCUCGGGAUACCCCCUCGAAAGGGGGGCUAAUACCGGAUACGUUCCUCGGUCGAAAGACUGGGGAGGAAAGGUGGCGCAAGCUACCGCUCUUGGAGGGGCUCGCGGCCUAUCAGCUAGUUGGCGGGGUAACGGCCCACCAAGGCUAUGACGGGUAGCUGGUCUGAGAGGACGACCAGCCACACGGGGACUGAGACACGGCCCCGACUCCUACGGGAGGCAGCAGUGGGGAAUUUUCCGCAAUGGGCGAAAGCCUGACGGAGUGACGCCGCGUGUGGGACGAAGGCCUUCGGGUCGUAAACCACUGUCAGUGGGAAAGAAGGGUGUCGGUGUUAAUACCACCGGCAUUUGACGGUACCUGCAGAGGAAGCCCCGGCCAACUCUGUGCCAGCAGCCGCGGUAAGACAGAGGGGGCAAGCGUUGCUCGGAAUUACUGGGCGUAAAGGGCGCGUAGGCGGGAUGGCAAGUCGGUCGUGAAAUCC
This 589-nucleotide ribosomal RNA is filed under the name uncultured soil bacterium. Its description in RNAcentral is "bacterial SSU rRNA". It matches the Rfam family "Bacterial small subunit ribosomal RNA", at positions 35 to 602 of the family's 1533-position model. The record is from RNAcentral.